This 616-nucleotide ribosomal RNA is filed under the name uncultured bacterium. RNAcentral's name for it is "bacterial SSU rRNA". It matches the Rfam family "Bacterial small subunit ribosomal RNA", at positions 338 to 947 of the family's 1533-position model. The record is from RNAcentral.
CCUACGGGAGGCAGCAGUGGGGAAUUUUGGACAAUGGGCGCAAGCCUGAUCCAGCAAUGCCGCGUGAGUGAAGAAGGCCUUCGGGUUGUAAAGCUCUUUUGUCAGGGAAGAAACGGCUGAGGUUAAUACCUUUGGCUAAUGACGGUACCUGAAGAAUAAGCACCGGCUAACUACGUGCCAGCAGCCGCGGUAAUACGUAGGGUGCAAGCGUUAAUCGGAAUUACUGGGCGUAAAGCGUGCGCAGGCGGUUUUGUAAGUCUGACGUGAAAUCCCCGGGCUCAACCUGGGAAUUGCGUUGGAGACUGCAAGGCUGGAGUCUGGCAGAGGGGGGUAGAAUUCCACGUGUAGCAGUGAAAUGCGUAGAGAUGUGGAGGAACACCGAUGGCGAAGGCAGCCCCCUGGGUCAAGACUGACGCUCAUGCACGAAAGCGUGGGGAGCAAACAGGAUUAGAUACCCUGGUAGUCCACGCCCUAAACGAUGUCUACUAGUUGUCGGGUCUUAAUUGACUUGGUAACGCAGCUAACGCGUGAAGUAGACCGCCUGGGGAGUACGGUCGCAGAUUAAAACUUAAAGGAAUUGACGGCUUGAGNGNGCGAGACGACGACGAGGAGGAGG